AACUUGGUAUUCUUUUUUUUUUCUUCAAUCUUAUAAACAAAAAUACAAAAUAAAAUCAUUCAAGGCUGGGAAUUUAGUUCUAGUAAAACACCAGAUACCAGCUACAACGAAAGUCGAAAAUUAGAGGCGAAAUUCAGGUGCCCAUAUAUUAUAGCGAGUUUUAUAAAACGAUAGGUGUGGUAGAGUAUAUACAAGGAUAACAUUUUUCAUUGCAACACUUUCUUUUCUUAUUUAAGAGUGAUUUCCUCACUACAUGUAUUUCGACUUCCAUUUUGCAGUAGGUUGAAGGGGGCCACAGGGGGCUUCUUUGCUUCUAAAAUAUUGUUUAAAUAUUUACAUAGCAGUCUAUAGUAUACAUAAGUGUUAGGCAUUUAAUAAAAAAAAGUCUCCAUAAAAGUGGUCAUAUGGUGCAUAUAUACAAAAAAUAUUUUUAAUCAUACAAGAUGCUCCAUUUCUUCUGGGCGCUAACUAACUUACAAUGUAUCUCUCACUCCCAUCCAGUAAAUCAAUGCGUUUUUUUAGGUAAUAUAGGCAUAUAGGAAUAACCCCUAUAGUUUUUCUGUAGAAAGUUCUUUGCAAUUUUCAAGUAAUAAACAAUUAAAAUAAAAAAAUAGCAAAUUUUUGCGUAUUAUAUCUUAAUAAUUCAUUAAAAUUAACAAUAACUAUUGCAAAUUGUUAUAUAUCUUGAUAUUACGUGGAAAGAUAGAUUUAAUAGUACUUAAAAUGUGAUUAAAAUUUCAAUUUGAUUAUUUCAUUAGUUUUUGGAUUAUAGAAAUUGUUUAUCUCAGAGAAGUUAUUUUUGCAAUAUAGUAGUACGCACAACUUUGGACAGACAGAGAUUUUGUAGGUUUUUUCUGGAAGGGCAGGUGUUUUUCUACAAUGAUGUUUAAUUAGAAUAAGAAAAAAGACAUUUUAAUUGUUGCAAAAUGUCGUUACAAAAGUGCUACCGUACGCACAACUUUGGACAGAAAGAGCUUUUGUAGGUUUUUUUGGAAGGGCAGGUAUUUUUCUACAAUGAUGUUUAAUUAGAAUACGAAAAAAGACAUUUUAAUUGUUGCAAAAUUUCGUUACAAAAGUGCUUUCAUUUUGGUUUAUUAACAAAUAAAAUAACUUUAUUGCUAUAACUGUUAGAAAUAUGCCGUUUUUAUACUUAGAAAGAGGACAUUUUUUAAUGAAUUUAAAAAGUUCCUGAGGAAAGUAACGUUUUGUUUUUUUAAUUCGCAGCUAUUUUGUUUAUAACAAUUAAAGACAGUCAUAUAAAGAUAAAUUAUUUCAACAGGAUGUCAUUUAAGUGGAUCAGUUUCUAAUAAUUUACUAAUUAAACUGCAUUAGUAUAACUGAAGGCACCUAUAAAAUGUAUUAUGUAUCUAUCAUAGGUAUAGAAAGAAUUUUCAUCUAUAGGUCUCCCGGCUCGUUUGUCGCUUCAUCUUGUCAUUCAAUCGUAUUCAAUUGUGUUCGGUCCUCGAGAAGGAGAUGUACCACCAUUUUUGCCGUCCAUAAAUGGAAACGACGCCUGAAAGCUUGCUUUGAGAUUACAUCCUUGGAUUCGAGGGACAAACAGUACUUGCAGAUUUGUGGCAAUCAGACAUAUUUUUAUUUCCAAGUAUGCUUCUAAUGAGCUGGUCAAAAAAUUCAUAGGAUACAGGGAGAGGAUAAUUCAAAUGGCCACGAAACGCGGGGAAGCAGAACCCCAAUCAUGCUUCUUUUUGUCGGUCUUGGACAGGGAUGCAUUUAAAUGUAUUAAAUGAACAAGGAGACAGAAAAUAAGAAGGAUUCAAAACCUGGAGAAGUGGAGCCCCUUUAAUUUUCCCUCCCCUUGGGCGUGAAGGUGCAAUUU
Molecule: long non-coding RNA, 1837 nt
Organism: Agrilus planipennis (emerald ash borer)
Lineage: Eukaryota; Metazoa; Arthropoda; Insecta; Coleoptera; Buprestidae
Exons: 3
Source: RefSeq, a predicted model, not a curated record